Long non-coding RNA from Aegilops tauschii subsp. strangulata, 1425 nucleotides. RefSeq lists it as uncharacterized. The record is from RefSeq and is a predicted model, not a curated record. NCBI's taxonomy places the organism in Eukaryota, Viridiplantae, Streptophyta, Magnoliopsida, Poales, Poaceae.
UAGUGUAGUAAAAAAGGUCACUCUUGGGGCCUUCGCGUCGGAGGAAGGCCCCCGGGGCCGGCGCCGCGGCCAACCCCCGGUUCGCCCUCGCGCCCGACGACGACGACGGCCCCGAGAACCCCCUCGUCGCGUUCGUCCACCCGCGCAGCGGCGACCGCCCCGGCCCCGUCCUCAAGUCCCGCCCGCAGGAGCUCACCGGCGAAGACCAGGAAAAGAAUUAACACACUGCGUAUUAUGUGUAAUAAUUCUAUAUACCAUAAGGUUGAUCAGUGCUGGCAAUCCAAUGCAACGAAAGGAAGCAGAUCCAUCCUUCCAUGCGGCAAUACAGUCGCAACAAGAAUGACAAUGCAAAGCCGACUCCAAAUCCCAAGCCAACAAAUGCGAACAAAAGGAUAACGCCGAGUUUGUCCUGCCACAAACCCUCAGAUUCCGGAGGAGCCACUCCAGUUGGAGAAAUUGAACUUUGAUUGUCACAGUGUUUGGAGAGUGGAACUCCACAGAGGCCUGCAUUACCUUCAAAUGAACUGUCUGAAAAUGUUGAGAACUGGUUUCCUUGCGGGAUUCUUCCAUACAAGUUGUUGUACGAAAGAUUCAACCAUUCAAGAGAAGUAAGUGAGGUUAACUCCUGUGGUAUUUCCCCUGUUAUCUGGUUCCAAGAGAGAUCCAUUGCUUCCAGCUGAGACAAGUUUCUGUACUGAAAUGGAAUUUGUCCCAUGAAGUUGUUGUAUGACAUGUUAAGUCCGCGCAGGGCAACAAGCCUCCCAAUUGACUCCGGAACAGGACCAUCAAAUGAGUUAUUUGAGAAAUCUAUUGCAUUGAAAGUGCUUAGGAUUUUGGUGAAACUAAGAUCAAACCCUUUGAAUGUUAUGGUAACAGUAUCUUGAUAAAAUCGUGCACCUGAAUAUGUCUCAUGUCCUAGAACUUCUCCCCCAUCACUGACAUUUUCCAUCAUUGCUUUCAGUUCAUUAAACCAUCCUUCUGGUAGGUUUCCAGAGAAGUUGUUGGAGGCCAAAUCAAGUAUUUGCAAAUUUGCAAAGUAGUUGUUGAUUGUAUGAUCGCCUUUAAAAUCCCUUAUGGUGCCGUUUAGUUGGUUGAAUCUCAAGACAAGAACUCGAAGAUGUGGAAGAACACCCAACCAAGAUGGAAAAGAACCGAUAAUUUGAUUGUUACCAACAUCAAGGAGCUCUAGGCCUUGGCAAUUUGAUAGUGAUCUGGGUAUUUUCCCUUCAAUUAGAUUGUUGUUCAAAUCUAUUGUCUGAAGCAUACAUCCUUCUCCAAUAUUUUCAGGCAGCAUCCCAUGGAAAUGAUUCUCUCUCAAUUUCAAUGUACUCAAGCUAUUGCUACCUUGCAUUAGACAGGAUGGCACCACACCGCUGAAAUUGUUGUAUGAUAAGUCCAGUAUCUCAAGAUCUUGUUGGGUACAAA